Molecule: unclassified non-coding RNA, 299 nt
Filed under: fungal sp.
Lineage: Eukaryota; Fungi
Description: partial internal transcribed spacer region
Rfam family: Eukaryotic small subunit ribosomal RNA (bases 1-46)
Source: RNAcentral
AAGUCGUAACAAGGUUUCCGUAGGUGAACCUGCGGUUGGAUCAUUAACAAUUAUUAUUGAAUUCUCCCCCCCCUUCACCGGGGGCGGUAGGUUCUCUAACACUUGUGUGCACUGUUUAUUGUCUCUCGGCGUUCGAGGGUUGGGUGUCCAGGAGCUAGCUCCUUGGCGCCCUUGGGCUUUUACCGGCCUUGACCUACCCCUGAGCGUCAACUUAAACUUGAUUUUAUUUAUACUAUAAGCCUUUAAUUUUAAAUUUAUAAUUUGAAAACAACUUUUAACAACGGAUCUCUAGGCUCUCA